GGAAUAUAAGAAACCGUCUCUUAACUUUUAACUAAAAAAGUUAAGAACCGGUUCUUAGUUCUUUUAGUUAAAAGUUAAGAGACGGUUUUUUAUAUUCU
Molecule: microRNA precursor, 98 nt
Filed under: Brassica napus (rape)
Lineage: Eukaryota; Viridiplantae; Streptophyta; Magnoliopsida; Brassicales; Brassicaceae
Description: MIR9563 microRNA precursor family
Rfam family: MIR9563 microRNA precursor family
Source: Rfam by way of RNAcentral